UUCCAUAGCCAUAUCUCUUUACUAGAUUCUUAAAGUUAUGCAGUUGUGUAGAUUAUAACUGUAAUACCGCUACAGCUUCUUUGGAAUGCAUUUGUCUAUAUGUAUCGAAGGUUAGGAGUUGCAAAAUCUAUUAGGCUUUGCUAAUGCAUUUGUACGAAGUUUGCAUUAUAUGCACAAGUUUAUAUCAAUGAAAAACAAG
RNAcentral lists this long non-coding RNA (199 nucleotides) under Jatropha curcas. RNAcentral's name for it is "long non-coding RNA (JCUR_LNC003562)". Lineage: Eukaryota; Viridiplantae; Streptophyta; Magnoliopsida; Malpighiales; Euphorbiaceae. The record is from RNAcentral.